GACAGAGGCGGCGAGCGUUACCCGGAUUCACUGGGCGUAAAGGGUGCGUAGGCGGUCGCGCAUGUCGCCGGUGAAAUCUCCCUGCUCAACGGGGAGAGGUCCGACGAAACUGCGCGGCUGGAGGGUCGGAGAGGGAGGCGGAACUUCCAGAGUAGCGGUGAAAUGCGUAGAUACUGGAAGGUACCUCAAUAGCGAAGGCAGCCUCCUGGCCGGUUUCUGACGCUGAGGCACGAAAGCGUGGGGAGCAAACCGG
This 253-nucleotide ribosomal RNA is filed under the name uncultured bacterium. RNAcentral's name for it is "partial 16S ribosomal RNA". It matches the Rfam family "Bacterial small subunit ribosomal RNA", at positions 524 to 776 of the family's 1533-position model. The record is from RNAcentral.